Hippocampus zosterae (dwarf seahorse) is the source of this 702-nucleotide long non-coding RNA. RefSeq lists it as uncharacterized. NCBI's taxonomy places the organism in Eukaryota, Metazoa, Chordata, Actinopteri, Syngnathiformes, Syngnathidae. The transcript is spliced from 2 exons. The record is from RefSeq and is a predicted model, not a curated record.
UAAGUGUCGGUAUUAUGUAGUUUACAGCGUUGCUUUUUUUAAUCACACAGGAGUGCGUGUUUUUUCAUCAGGCAUUGACAAGGACCGCACAUUACAAGACCUUGACGCAAGGACCCAUUCUACAGGUGAUCAUCAAUUUUCGACCAAAUUAGCAUUUUCUUAUUUUACCUCAGUUGACCUUAACCCAAAAGUUUCAAAAGGUCAAAUCAUGAUGGAUGCAAGUCGAGCCAAGUAAGUGAGCUUUUAAAUCUACCAGUAUGUGUUUUUUUUUUUUUAAUCGCAAGACCUGAUGAUGGACUCGACUGGCCCACUUGACCGAAAUGCUUUUUUGAAUGCGCACGUCAUGUGGGUAAAAAGAAUGGCUGCCAUAACUGAAUUACGAUGUUAAUGUGACCCGUAUUGUUUUGGGACGAAUUUCUUCUCAGUUCACAUUUGAAGGCAAAAAAAAAAGAAUUUUCACUUCACCCGAGUAUAUGUCCAGCCGCUCCUUCAAUUCAUCAUUCAGGAUUUUCUUCACCUCGAGAUCCUCCAGAAGACAACUCACGGUGUUCCUUGCCCUCCUCUCCCUGUCCUUGGCGUUCCUCUUGUCUCUUUCCAGACUCUCCACCCUCGCUAGGGCUUCACUGAGUUUGACCCUCAGCUCUUCCGGUGUUGAAGCGUAAGCGUGGUCCUAAGUCAAAAUAAGAAAAAUGAGAAUACGGA